GAAGGUAUAGCUCAGUUGUUAGAGAGCAUGCUUAACACACAUGAGUCCUGGGUUCAAUUCCAAGUACCUCCA
Molecule: transfer RNA, 72 nt
Filed under: Camelus bactrianus (Bactrian camel)
Lineage: Eukaryota; Metazoa; Chordata; Mammalia; Artiodactyla; Camelidae
Also listed under: 2 other names
Rfam family: tRNA
About the family: Transfer RNA (tRNA) molecules are approximately 80 nucleotides in length. Their secondary structure includes four short double-helical elements and three loops (D, anti-codon, and T loops). Further hydrogen bonds mediate the characteristic L-shaped molecular structure. tRNAs have two regions of fundamental functional importance: the anti-codon, which is responsible for specific mRNA codon recognition, and the 3' end, to which the tRNAs corresponding amino acid is attached (by aminoacyl-tRNA synthetases). tRNAs cope with the degeneracy of the genetic code in two manners: having more than one tRNA (with a specific anti-codon) for a particular amino acid; and 'wobble' base-pairing, i.e. permitting non-standard base-pairing at the 3rd anti-codon position.
Source: Rfam by way of RNAcentral